RNAcentral lists this ribosomal RNA (428 nucleotides) under uncultured bacterium. RNAcentral's name for it is "partial 16S ribosomal RNA". It matches the Rfam family "Bacterial small subunit ribosomal RNA", at positions 354 to 796 of the family's 1533-position model. The record is from RNAcentral.
GUAGGGAAUAUUGCGCAAUGGACGAAAGUCUGACGCAGCGACGCCGCGUGAGUGAUGAAGGCCUUAGGGUCGUAAAGCUCUGUUGAAUGGGAAGAAAAAAAUGACGGUACCAUUCGAGGAAGGACCGGCUAACUUCGUGCCAGCAGCCGCGGUAAUACGAGGGGUCCUAGCGUUGUUCGGAAUCAUUGGGCGUAAAGGGGGUGUAGGUGGCCAUGUAAGUCAGGUGUGAAAGCCCCGGGCUCAACCCGGGAAGUGCGCUUGAUACUGCGUGGCUUGAGUACCGAAGAGGGUAGUGGAAUUCCAGGUGUAGUGGUGAAAUACGUAGAUAUCUGGAGGAACACCGGUGGCGAAGGCGGCUACCUGGUCGAGUACUGACACUGAGACACGAAAGCAUGGGGAUCAAACAGGAUUAGAAACCCCUGUAGUCC